Orcinus orca (killer whale) is the source of this 5469-nucleotide RNA transcript. It is a transcript of the gene named apurinic/apyrimidinic endodeoxyribonuclease 2, with no coding region annotated. Lineage: Eukaryota; Metazoa; Chordata; Mammalia; Artiodactyla; Delphinidae. The transcript has 8 exons. The record is from RefSeq and is a predicted model, not a curated record.
ACGCACAAGAACGCCUGCGCAAAUGCGCGCGCGGAAGGCCAGGCCUGGCGGACACAGGAAUUUUCGGGUUUUGGCUCGCACUUACGUGGGGCGCGGGCUUAAAGGCAUUGCAGUUAGCUGUCAGCAUGUUGCGCGUGGUGAGCUGGAACAUCAAUGGGAUUCGCAGCCCCGUGCAAGGGGUGGGAAACGAGGAGCCCAGCAAUUGUACCGCCAUGGCCAUGGGGCGCAUUUUGGACAAGCUGGAUGCUGACAUCGUCUGUCUUCAGGAGACCAAAGUAACCAGGGAUGUGCUGACAGAGCCCCUGGCUAUCAUUGAGGGCUGUAACUCCUAUUUCAGCUUCAGCCGCAACCGUAGUGGCUAUUCUGGUGUAGCCACCUUCUGUAAGGACAGUGCUACCCCAGUGGCUGCUGAAGAAGGCCUGAGUGGCCUACUUGCCACUCAGAAUGGGGACGUGGGUUGCUACGGAAACAUGGAUGACUUCACUCAAGAGGAGCUUCGAGCUCUGGAUAGUGAGGGCCGGGCCCUCCUCACACAACACAAGAUCUGCACAUGGGAAGGGAAGGAGAAGACCUUGACCCUAAUCAACGUGUACUGCCCCCAUGCGGACCCUGGGAAGCCUGAGCGGCUCGCCUUUAAGAUGCGCUUCUAUCGCUUGCUGCAGAUCCGAGCAGAAGCCCUCCUGGCAGCUGGCAGCCAUGUUAUCAUUCUGGGGGACCUGAAUACAGCUCACCGCCCCAUUGACCACUGGGAUGCAGUCAACCUGGAAUGCUUUCAAGAGGACCCAGGUCGCAAGUGGAUGGACCACUUGCUCAGUAACCUGGGGUGCCAGGCUGGUUCCCAUACGGGACCCUUCAUUGAUAGCUACCGAUGCUUCCAUCCAAAGCAGAAGGGGGCCUUCACCUGCUGGUCCACAGUCAGUGGCGCCCGCCAUCUGAACUAUGGCUCUCGGCUUGACUAUGUGCUGGGAGACAGGACCCUGGUCAUGGACACCUUUCAGGCCUCCUUCUUGCUGCCUGAGGUGAUGGGCUCUGACCACUGCCCCGUGGGUGCAGUCUUAAGCGUGUCUUCUGUGCCGGCAAAACAGUGCCCACCUCUGUGCACCCGCUUCCUCCCUGAGUUUGCAGGCACCCAGCUCAAGAUCCUUAGAUUCCUAGUUCGUCUCGAACAAGAUCCUGUGUUCAGGCAGUCAGCGCUGCAGCUCAGCAAUCAAACACCGGUACAGAUGCGCCAAAACAAAGCCCGUGUGCGCUCGACCAGGUCUCGGCCAAGUCAAGCUGGUUCCAGUAGAGGCCAAAAAAACCUGAUGAGCUACUUCCAGCCAUCCUCCAGUCGUCCCCAAGCUUCUUCUAACUUGGAGCUUCCUAGCCUGGGCACCCUCAUGACCCCAAAGACCUCAGAAGAGGAUGUGAUGGCCAAUGUGGUGGAGGGGCGGGCCAAGGCUUCAGAGGCCAAGGAUGAAAAGGAGCUCCCCAACUCCUUGUUGGACGUUCUUGGAAAGUCACUUCCCCUCUUUGGGUCUCAGCUUUCAUCAGCUGUCAAAUGUAUUUAUGUCUACCUCAUAUGGUAGGUAAUGAAUUGGAUUUGAUGCCUACCUUAUAUCUGGAGAUAUGAGUUUCCCUUCUCCUGCCUUCCUGCAAAGGCUAAACUGCUUGGAACUGAGCCUGCAGACCACAGAUAAGGCUCCCAGAGUUUAUCACGUUUAGGGUCUGACCACUCCCGAAGCUGAGACCAGGGUGUGGAAGAGAAGAGGAGUUCCUUUCUAGAAUCAUGUCUGUGCAUCUGGCUGGGGCUGACCCUAGCUAUUGGUGGUGAGGGGGGCGGAUGGCCCAGGGAGAGGAGGCAAAGCAGAUGGCCAGGUUCCAGGCUCCUGCAAAUUCCUUUCCCCAACAUUAACAACAAUAAUGACAACAUUGGGGUAUGUAAUGUGAAGAAAAACCCCCAAGAUUGGAAGCAAAGUCCAGUCCUGCCUUUGGAUGAUGGUGAAUCCCACCCCCAGGUAUAAAAACAGAAGUUCAGUACACACAUCAUCUCUAAGGGGCUUUCGGCCAUGAUAUUCUCAGGGACCUGGGAAAAUAUAGGCUACUUCUUGGAAUUUGUUGAAUUAUCAAGUUCUUUCAAGCUUCAGUUCCAGUUUCUCUGUUCUGGCACUCCUUUCCUGGAAUUUGCCCUGCCUCACUCUGCCUGCCCAUCUUGGGCUCUGUUUCCAUUCUAUCUUACUACCUAUCAUGAGACUGGAGAGAGUAAAAUCAAAUCAAAGGAGUAUUUUAGGCAAUUUAGGGUAUUAAGAGCACAGCCUCUGGAGCCAGACUACUUGCAUUUGAAUCCUGGCUCUACCACUCACUAGCUCUGGGACAUUAGAAAAGUCAUGUCUCUGCUCUAUGUCUUAUAUCUUUAAAAUGUAGAUAAUAACAAGGACAAUCUACUUCACAGGGAUGUUGUGAAGAUCCAGUAAGAUAAUCUAUAUAAAGUAUAUAGAAGAGUGCCUAUCCUAGAGUAAAUGCUGAAAAAGUGUUAUCUGUUCUUUUUUAUAUUCUACAUUUUCUAUGUAGGGAAAGUGAAGGUAUAGUCAAGGGAAGUAACAUCAUGAAUACACCAGACCAGGUCUGGAAACUUGAUUCUUGUCUCAAUCCUGAUUCUUGUCCUGAUUCUGUUACAACUUACUAUAUGAACUUGGGCUCUGUAUUUUCCCUCUCUGGGCCUCAGUUUCUCCAAAAACAUUGGACUAGAUAGCUCCAUAGAUUCCAUCUGGUUCUACCAGUCAAACACUCACAGAGUUCUCACUGUGCCAUACCCCUUUGUAAAUGCUUCACAUACAUUGACUUAUUUAAUCUUCAUGACAACCCUGUGAGUUAUAUACUAAUAUCAACUUUAUUUCAAAGAUGAGGAAACUGAGGGCCCAAAAGAUUAAGUAACCUGUUCAGGUCACAGAGCUACUAAGUAGGAGAACCAGGAUUUGAACCUAGUCAAUCUGGUUCCAGAGCCUACUAACUUAACCACUAUGGAUCUAUGAUUCUAAUAUUACUACACAUUAUCCUGACUGAGAGCCUGACUCCAGGCAUAAAUCCACUCUCCUACACUAACAGGUCCCUUUCUGGGACACUUGAUUUUGAGUUGUAACCAAUGCCUUUACCACAGGAACAGAUUUCUAACUGAAGCGGAAUUUCAGGCACUGGUGAACAUUCAUUCAUUCAUACAUUCAUUCAUUCCAUUAUUUAACAACUUAUGCACCAAUCUUUGCCGGGGUCUUCUUAAAACAAUGCUUUUACCCAAGGAGGUAACUGUGAAAUUUUGGACCAAGUGAUAGAGCAUUACUAGAAGAUUUUCCCUACACCUUAAAAUCCUCUCUCGUGUCAGCAGCCAAUCUGCAGUCCCAGAGAUCAGAGGGGCCAACCACAACUCUACCCCAGGAGAGAGCCAGAAACCACUCAUUGCAGCGUUCCUCGAUCUCUCUCUCCCCUUUGUGGCCUGCUUUGAAAGAAUCAGGCAGCAGGACGAUGUCAUAACCAGGCAAUUUCAUCUGUGGAGCAGAUUAUCAUCAUUAAUAGUAUAUUAACAUAAAUGGAAUCAUACUCUAUAAUGAUUUGCAAUUUCCUUUUUUUCUAUUUGACCACAUGGCAAUAUGCCAUGUAGUUCUUUCCAUAUAAAUUCUUUCUUUUUUGUGGAGUCAUACUAUUCAAGAAUCUGAAUGUUAACAUUAUUUAAACACUCACUUAUUAAUGGAAAUUUAAGUUACUUCCAGGGAUUUCCCCCAUCCAUUAUGAAUAAUGUUGCAAUAAAUAUCUUUGGGCUUAUGUGAGGAUAUUUUUUAUAUGGUAGAAUCCUAAAAAAAUUCCUGGGUCAAAGGAUAUAUAGACAUUAAAAUUUUUGAUACUGCUAAUUUGCCCUAUACAUUUGCUAUACAUUCCCAAUAAUGGUGCAUAAGAGUGUGUGUGUCUGGUCUCUCAUAAACUUGCCAACACCAUUUAAAAAAUUUAAUUAAUUACUUAACUGAAAUAUACUUAAUUUACAAUAUUAUAACUAAUUUUUAUUAUUUCCUUCCUUCUGCUAACUUUGGAUUUAGUUUGCUAUUUUAAUUUCCUAUUUCCUUAAGGUGUAGAGUUAGGUUAUUGGUUUGAUAUAUUGUUUCUUUUUAAAAAUAUGUUUUUAUAACUAUAAAUCUCUGAGCACUGCCUUGCUGCAUCCCAUAUGUUUUGAUAGGUUGUAUUUUCAUUUUAAUCCAUUUCUAAGUAUUUUCUAAUUUCCCUUGUGAUGUAUUCUUUGACCUACUGAUUGUUUAAUAGUGUGUUGUUCCAUUUCCACAUACUUGUGAAUUUUCCAGUUUCACUUGUUAUUGAUUUUCAGUUUCAUUCCUUUGUCACCACAAAAGAUAUUUCGUAAGAUUUUAUUCUUUUUAAAUUAACUGAGACUUGGGGCUCAAUUUAUGGUGUAUCCUGGAGAAUGCUCCAUGUGCACUUGAGAAAAAUAUGUAUUCUGCUAUUGCCAGCAGAGCAUUCUGUAUAUAUUAUUUGUUCUAGUUGGUUUAUAGUGUUUUGCAAGUUCUCUAUUAUUGAUCUUCUGUUUAUGGGUUGUUGUUCUACCCAUUACUGACAGUGGAGUAUUGAAGUAUAGAACUAUUAUUGUAGAACUAUUUCUCCCUUCUGUUUUGCCUGGUUUUGCUUCAUAUAUUUUGUGAUGGUCUUGUUAGUUGUGUGUAUGUUUAUAAUUAUAGCUCCUUGGUGAAUUGACCUUUUAAUCAAUAUGUAAUGUCCUUCUUUGUACCUUGAAACACAUUUUGAAUUAAAGUCUGUUUAGUAUGAUAUUUGUAUAACUACCCCAGUUCUCUUUUAGUUACUAUUUGCGUGGAGUAUUCUUUCCAUAAUUUCACUUUCAACCUACCAGUUUCUUUUGAUUAAAAUGAGUCUCUUGUAGGCAGCAUAUAGUUCGAUCAUAAUUUUUUCAUCCAUUCUGCCAAUCUAUGCCUUUUGAUUACAGAGUUUACUCUAUUUACAUUUAAACUUAUUACUGAUAAGGAAGAAUUUGCUUCAGCCAUUUUGCUAUUUUUUUCUAUAUGUCUUAUAGCUUUUCCUUCCUCAUUACCUCCAUUACUGCCUUCAUUUGCGUUUAAUUGAUUUUUUGUUGUUGUGUUCCAUUUUGGUUCCCUUCUCAUUUUCCUUUUUGUGUAUUUUGAGUUAUUUUCUUCGUGGUUAUCCUGAGGAUUAUAAGUAACAUAUUGAAUUCAUAACAUUUUAGUUUGAAUUAAUACUAACAGCUUCAGUAGCAUGCAAAACUCUGCUCUUAUGCUCCUAGACACCUCUGUCCUUUCCCCUUUAUGAUGUUAUUGUCAUAACUUACAUCUUUAUACAAUGUGUAUCCACUAGCAUUGACUUAUAAUUAUUGUUUUAUGAAUUUGUCUUUCAAAUCAUAUAGUAAAAAAGAAAAGUUACAAACCAAUAAUAAAAUAAUACUGAAUUUUAUAUUUACCUAUUUAA